GGAGGUUGCUGCUAUCGGGAUACGAUUAAGCCAUGCGAGUCUUUCCGCAAGGAAGGCAAACUGCUGAGUAACACGUCGAUAACUUACCCUUUUGUUCGGGAUACCCUCGGGAAACUGAGUAUAAGACCGGAUAGGGAAGGUGCUUUGGAAUAAGCCCUUCUAUAAACGCAAGGCAAAAGGAUAGGACGGCGGCGGAUUAGGUAGUUGGUGAGGUAACGGCUCACCAAGCCCGAGAUCCGUAGGGGUCCUGAAAGGGAGAGCCCCCAGAAGGGCACUGAGAUACUGGCCCUAGCCCUACGGGGUGCAGCAGGCGCGAAAACUUUCCAAUGCACGCAAGUGUGAGAAGGGAAUCCCGAGUGCUUAUGCAAUGCAAGGCUUUUGCCAAGGGUAAAUACCUUGGAGAAUAAGUGGUGGGCAAUACCUGUGCCAGCCGCCGCGGUAACCCAGGAACCACAAGUGGCAACCGCUUUUAUUGGGCCUAAAGCGUCCGUAGCCGGAUCUGUAAAUCUUCUGUGAAAUCCUCGGGCUUAACCGAGGGCGCGCAGGAGACACUGCAUUUCUAGGGACCGGGAGGCGUGAGGGGUAUUUCGGGGGGAGCGGUAAAAUGUUAUAAUC
RNAcentral lists this ribosomal RNA (615 nucleotides) under uncultured euryarchaeote. RNAcentral's name for it is "bacterial SSU rRNA". It matches the Rfam family "Archaeal small subunit ribosomal RNA", at positions 19 to 647 of the family's 1478-position model. The record is from RNAcentral. Lineage: Archaea; Methanobacteriati; Methanobacteriota.